GUCAGAAUAACUAAGCGGACUAAGGCGCCAUAUUUAAGCUCUGGUUCUCAACAGAGAGCGUGGGUUCGACCCCCACUUCUGACA
RNAcentral lists this transfer RNA (84 nucleotides) under Araneus ventricosus. It matches the Rfam family "tRNA". Rfam says of the family: Transfer RNA (tRNA) molecules are approximately 80 nucleotides in length. Their secondary structure includes four short double-helical elements and three loops (D, anti-codon, and T loops). The record is from Rfam by way of RNAcentral. Lineage: Eukaryota; Metazoa; Arthropoda; Arachnida; Araneae; Araneidae.